CCUACGGGAGGCAGCAGUGAGGAAUAUUGGUCAAUGGGCGCAAGCCUGAACCAGCCAAGUAGCGUGAAGGAUGACUGCCCUAUGGGUUGUAAACUUCUUUUAUAUGGGAAUAAAGUGCAUUAUGUAUACUGCUUUGCAUGUACCUUAUGAAUAAGGAUCGGCUAACUCCGUGCCAGCAGCCGCGGUAAUACGGAGGGUCCGAGCGUUAUCCGGAUUUAUUGGGUUUAAAGGGAGCGUAGGUGGGUUGUUAAGUCAGUUGUGAAAGGUUGGGGCUCAACCGUAAAAUUGCAAUUGAUACUGGCGGUCUUGAGUACGGGGGAGGGAGGCGGAAUUCGUGGUGUAGCGGUGAAAUGCUUAGAUAUCACGAAGAACCCCGAUUGCGAAGGCAGCUUGCUAAAGUGGGACUGACGUUGAUGCUCGAAAGUGUGGGUAUCAAACAGGAUUAGAUACCCUAGUAGUC
RNAcentral lists this ribosomal RNA (460 nucleotides) under uncultured bacterium. Its description in RNAcentral is "partial 16S ribosomal RNA". It matches the Rfam family "Bacterial small subunit ribosomal RNA", at positions 338 to 795 of the family's 1533-position model. The record is from RNAcentral.